Molecule: small nucleolar RNA, 140 nt
Organism: Pteronotus mesoamericanus
Lineage: Eukaryota; Metazoa; Chordata; Mammalia; Chiroptera; Mormoopidae
Product: small nucleolar RNA SNORA8
Exons: 1
Source: RefSeq, a predicted model, not a curated record
UGAACUGCAUGGUACCUGCGUUCAGCAGUUUAUUCCUACUGGGUUUUCAAAGGACUGUGAGAUAAAUUCAGUAUCUGGCAUCGUUGGAUUUCUUGGCUUUGUGCUUGUUGAUACAGCAUAAAAAUUUUGAUGGUUCACAA